CGUGUAGGCGGGUAUAUAAGUCAGAAGUGAAAUCCUAUAGCUUAACUAUAGAACUGCUUUUGAAACUGUAUACCUAGAAUGUGGGAGAGGUAGAUGGAAUUUCUGGUGUAGGGGUAAAAUCCGUAGAGAUCAGAAGGAAUACCGAUUGCGAAGGCGAUCUACUGGAACAUUAUUGACGCUGAGACGCGAAAGCGUGGGGAGCGAACA
RNAcentral lists this ribosomal RNA (207 nucleotides) under uncultured bacterium. RNAcentral describes it as "partial 16S ribosomal RNA". It matches the Rfam family "Bacterial small subunit ribosomal RNA", at positions 568 to 774 of the family's 1533-position model. The record is from RNAcentral.